AUUGAACGCUGGCGGCAGGCCUAACACAUGCAAGUCGAGCGGCAGCGGGAAAGUAGCUUGCUACUUUUGCCGGCGAGCGGCGGACGGGUGAGUAAUGCCUGGGAAAUUGCCCAGUCGAGGGGGAUAACAGUUGGAAACGACUGCUAAUACCGCAUACGCCCUACGGGGGAAAGCAGGGGACCUUCGGGCCUUGCGCGAUUGGAUAUGCCCAGGUGGGAUUAGCUAGUUGGUGAGGUAAUGGCACACCAAGGCGACGAUCCCCAGCUGGUCUGGGAGGCUGAUCAGCCACACUGGAAGUGAAACACGGUCGAGACUCCUACGGGAGGCAGCAGUGGGGAAUAUUGUACAAUGGGGGAAACCCUGAUGCAGCCAUGCCGCGUGUGUGAAGAAGGCCUUCGGGUUGUAAAGCACUUUCAGCGAGGAGGAAAGGUUGAUGCCUAAUACGUAUCAACUGUGACGUUACUCGCAGAAGAAGCACCGGCUAACUCCGUGCCAGCAGCCGCCGUAA
This 508-nucleotide ribosomal RNA is filed under the name uncultured bacterium. Its description in RNAcentral is "partial 16S ribosomal RNA". It matches the Rfam family "Bacterial small subunit ribosomal RNA", at positions 30 to 523 of the family's 1533-position model. The record is from RNAcentral.